RNAcentral lists this non-coding RNA (23 nucleotides) under Cricetulus griseus (Chinese hamster). Lineage: Eukaryota; Metazoa; Chordata; Mammalia; Rodentia; Cricetidae. The record is from RNAcentral.
CUGUUCUGUUGCUGUGAUGAAAC